This 63-nucleotide transfer RNA is filed under the name Tuxedo elongatus. RNAcentral's name for it is "tRNA-Leu". The record is from RNAcentral. Lineage: Eukaryota; Metazoa; Arthropoda; Insecta; Hemiptera; Miridae.
UCUAAUAUGGCAGAAUAGUGCUAUGAACUUAAGAUUCAUAUAUGAGGACCUCCUCUAUUAGAA